GACGAACGCUGGCGGCGUGCUUAACACAUGCAAGUCGAACGGAAAGGCCCUGCUUUUGUGGGGUGCUCGAGUGGCGAACGGGUGAGUAACACGUGAGUAACCUGCCCUUGACUUUGGGAUAACUUCAGGAAACUGGGGCUAAUACCGGAUAGGAGCUCCUGCUGCAUGGUGGGGGUUGGAAAGUUUCGGCGGUUGGGGAUGGACUCGCGGCUUAUCAGCUUGUUGGUGGGGUAGUGGCUUACCAAGGCUUUGACGGGUAGCCGGCCUGAGAGGGUGACCGGCCACAUUGGGACUGAGAUACGGCCCAGACUCCUACGGGAGGCAGCAGUGGGGAAUAUUGCACAAUGGGCGGAAGCCUGAUGCAGCAACGCCGCGUGCGGGAUGACGGCCUUCGGGUUGUAAACCGCUUUCGCCUGUGACGAAGCGUGAGUGACGGUAAUGGGUAAAGAAGCACCGGCUAACUACGUGCCAGCAGCCGCGGUGAUACGUAGGGUGCGAGCGUUGUCCGGAUUUAUUGGGCGUAAAGGGCUCGUAGGUGGUUGAUCGCGUCGGAAGUGUAAUCUUGGGGCUUAACCCUGAGCGUGCUUUCGAUACGGGUUGACUUGAGGAAGGUAGGGGAGAAUGGAAUUCCUGGUGGAGCGGUGGAAUGCGCAGAUAUCAGGAGGAACACCAGUGGCGAAGGCGGUUCUCUGGGCCUUUCCUGACGCUGAGGAGCGAAAGCGUGGGGAGCGAACAGGCUUAGAUACCCUGGUAGUCCACGCUGUAAACGGUGGGUACUAGGUGUGGGGUCCAUUCCACGGGUUCCGUGCCGUAGCUAACGCUUUAAGUACCCCGCCUGGGGAGUACGGCCGCAAGGCUAAAACUCAAAGGAAUUGACGGGGCCCCGCACAAGCGGCGGAGCAUGCGGAUUAAUUCGAUGCAACGCGUAGAACCUUACCUGGGUUUGACAUGGAUCGGGAGCGCUCAGAGAUGGGUGUGCCUCUUUUGGGGUCGGUUCACAGGUGGUGCAUGGCUGUCGUCAGCUCGUGUCGUGAGAUGUUGGGUUAAGUCCCGCAACGAGCGCAACCCUUGUUCACUGUUGCCAGCACGUUAUGGUGGGGACUCAGUGGAGACCGCCGGGGUCAACUCGGAGGAAGGUGGGAUGACGUCAAGUCAUCAUGCCCCUUAUGUCCAGGGCUUCACGCAUGCUACAAUGGCUGGUACAGAGAGUGGCGAGCCUGUGAGGGUGAGCGAAUCUCGGAAAGCCGGUCUCAGUUCGGAUUGGGGUCUGCAACUCGACCUCAUGAAGUCGGAGUCGCUAGUAAUCGCAGAUCAGCAACGCUGCGGUGAAUACGUUCCCGGG
This 1342-nucleotide ribosomal RNA is filed under the name uncultured bacterium. RNAcentral describes it as "16S ribosomal RNA". It matches the Rfam family "Bacterial small subunit ribosomal RNA", at positions 28 to 1378 of the family's 1533-position model. The record is from RNAcentral.